AACGUACGCUGGCGGCACGCCUAACACAUGCAAGUCGAACGAAGUAGCAAUACUUAGUGGCAGACGGGUGAGUAACAUGUAGGUAUCUGCCCUUUGGCCUGGAAUAACACGAGGAAACUUGUGCUAAUACCGGAUAAGUCUUUACGGAGAAAGCUUUAUGCACCAUUGGAUGAGCCUGCACUUGAUUAGUUUGUUGGUGGGGUAAUGGCCUACCAAGACUGUGAUCAAUAGCUGAUUUGAGAGGAUGAUCAGCCACAUUGGGACUGAGACACGGCCCAAACUCCUACGGGAGGCAGCAGUGGGGAAUCUUGCACAAUGGAGGAAACUCUGAUGCAGCGAUGCCGCGUGAGUGAAGAAGGCCCUUGGGUUGUAAAGCUCUUUCGUCGGGGAAGAAAAUGACUGUACCCGAAUAAGAAGGUCCGGCUAACUUCGUGCCAGCAGCCGCGGUAAUACGAAGGGACCUAGCGUAGUUCGGAAUUACUGGGCUUAAAGAGUUCGUAGGUGGUUGAAAAAGUUAGUGGUGAAAUCCCAGAGCUUAACUCUGGAACUGCCAUUAAAACUUUUCAGCUAGAGUAUGAUAGAGGAAAGCAGAAUUUCUAGUGUAGAGGUGAAAUUCGUAGAUAUUAGAAAGAAUACCAAUUGCGAAGGCAGCUUUCUGGAUCAUUACUGACACUGAGGAACGAAAGCAUGGGUAGCGAAGAGGAUUAGAUACCCUCGUAGUCCAUGCCGUAAACGAUGUGUGUUAGACGUUGGAAAUUUAUUUUCAGUGUCGCAGGGAAACCGAUAAACACACCGCCUGGGGAGUACGACCGCAAGGUUAAAACUCAAAUGAAUUGACGGGGACCCGCACAAGUAGUGGAGCAUGUGGUUUAAUUCGAAGAUACGCGCAGAACCUUACCAACACUUGACAUGUUCGUCGCGACUCUAAGAGAUUAGAGUUUUCGGUUCGGCCGGACGAAACACAGGUGCUGCAUGGCUGUCGUCAGCUCGUGUCGUGAGAUGUUGGGUUAAGUCCCGCAACGAGCGCAACCCUCACUUUUAGUUGCCAUCAUUAAGUUGGGCACUCUGAAAGAACUGCCAGUGAUAAGCUGGAGGAAGGUGGGGAUGACGUCAAGUCCUCAUGGCCCUUACGUGUUGGGCUACACACGUGCUACAAUGGUAUCUACAACAGGAAGCAAGACUGCGAAGUUAAGCAAAUCCCUAAAAGAUACCUCGGUUCGGAUUGCGCUCUGCAACUCGAGUGCAUGAAAGCUGGAAUUACUAGUAAUCGUGGAUCAGCGUGCCACGGUGAAAUGCGUUCCCGGGUCU
This 1308-nucleotide ribosomal RNA is filed under the name uncultured bacterium. Its description in RNAcentral is "bacterial SSU rRNA". It matches the Rfam family "Bacterial small subunit ribosomal RNA", at positions 28 to 1381 of the family's 1533-position model. The record is from RNAcentral.